This is a long non-coding RNA of Oncorhynchus tshawytscha (Chinook salmon), 360 nucleotides long. The record is from Ensembl. Lineage: Eukaryota; Metazoa; Chordata; Actinopteri; Salmoniformes; Salmonidae.
GCUUCCUCAGGUCUCUCUCUCUCUCUCUCUCUCUCUCUCUCUCAGGGCUUCCUCAGGUCUCUCUCUCUCUCUCUCUCUCUCUCUCUCAGGGCUUCCUCAGGUCUCUCUCUCUCUCAGGGCUUCCUCAGGUCUCUCUCUCUCUCAGGGCUUCCUCAGGGCUUCCUCAGGGCUUCCUCAGGUCUCUCUCUCUCAGGGCUUCCUCAGGUCUCUCUCUCUCUCUCUCUCUCAGGGCUUCCUCAGGUCUCUCUCUCUCUCUCUCUCUCAGGGCUUCCUCAGGUCUCUCUCUCUCUCUCUCUCAGGGCUUCCUCAGGUCUCUCUCUCUCUCUCUCUCUCUCUCUCAGGGCUUCCUCAGGUCUCUCU